RNAcentral lists this long non-coding RNA (529 nucleotides) under Brachypodium distachyon (stiff brome). RNAcentral describes it as "long non-coding RNA (BDIS_LNC004662)". Lineage: Eukaryota; Viridiplantae; Streptophyta; Magnoliopsida; Poales; Poaceae. The record is from RNAcentral.
GACAGAUAUAUACGAAAACUCACUAUGAUGGAACGUGACUCAAAACGAGAAGCAAGGUCUAAAACCUAGAUAGCCUCGAAAAAAAUGUGUGGCCAAAAACUAAAACUGCAAAAAGCUGCUCUGGAAAACGUGCAGACGUCUCAAAAUUUCCGCUAUGAUGACGGAUAGCUAAAAACGAUCCCGGAAGUAUAAAAACAGUGUAUGCUAAAUUUUUUUUUUUUUGCUCGCCUCUUUCCUUGCGGCCGAAACUUUCCGGACUUAUAUCAACUCACAGAUCGGACCGAGAUCUCUUCGUACGGGAAGCAAACUCUAAAAAGGAAGACAAAAUAAACCUGAUUUGAUACGGUAUGUGAAAUCAACAAUGAUACGGAUAUGGAUAUGUGGUGGCGGAAUUGGUGGCGGAAGAUGGUAAGUGGAACCGAAAUUGAUACGGUUAAGGAUAUGUGGUGGCGGAAUUGGUGGCGGAAGGUAAGUGGAACCGAAAUUGAUACGGUUAGAGAUAUGUGGUGGCGUGGAAGAUCGGCGAGCG